This 994-nucleotide long non-coding RNA is filed under the name Equus asinus (donkey). Its description in RNAcentral is "lncRNA (ENSEASG00005029140.1)". Lineage: Eukaryota; Metazoa; Chordata; Mammalia; Perissodactyla; Equidae. The record is from RNAcentral.
GCCCUGCCGGUGCCAUCCUGCAGGACCGCCCGGCGCGGCCGAGUCUGGGCCGGCGGCGGCUGGGAAGCCAGGAGCGUUCUUAUCGGGCCUCGGACGACUUUACAAGCUAUUUCAAUGCCAUAAAAGUUUAUAGCCCUGCUUUAACUAGGGAGACUACAGUCGUGUACCGGAAACAAUUAGGGAAUAAAAUGAGGGAUAAUUAAAUGCCAAAAUUUGGGCCGCAGGUUUCACAAGUGCUGUAGGAAUUCGGGUGGAGGUUGACACUGCAAACGCACGUGAUCGCAGUCUUUCUGGCUAGGGGCAGAAACUGUGGCUUAUUCAUCCUUGUCUCACCUAUACCUUGCCCAAUGCCUGCUUCAGAAUAGACUCUGACUAUAAAAUAGGAUGAUACCUCCUUGGGUUAUGAUGAAGAUUAAGAAAGUUAAUAUAGGAAAACACUUUCUAAAGUUCCUAAUACUUUGAAACUAGACGUAUUUACCUCAAACCAACUCGACACGUUCCCAUGUAGUCUGCUCCCCUGAUGGGGUCCCCAGGGGUAGCAGCUUUAUUAGUCUGUACUGGGGCACCAUAAUGCAGACAAGAAACACUUUGAAAUCUUUAAUGCUCCUGGUGAGAUGAGGAACAGCUCUGUGGCAUUGCCAGCGGACACGUUUGCAUUCUGUCCUUUGGCAGCAGAGGAUAUCCAGUCCUUCCACAAAACAUACAACCAAAAACAAGGAAGGAAGAAAAGCCAAAGCCUAGGCAAGCUCACUGACGCCGCUCUCUGGCUGCCUUCCGUGUCCUCCUCUCCAACGGGUGUUCCGGCCCUUUCUCGUGCUGGAGUGGCCAGAUCUACGACUUCAGUUUGAACUUGGGGAGAAGUAGGUGGGAUCUCUGGCUUGCUUUGGCAUGAGACCCAGUUAGUAACAGAGUCCUUCCAGCUUUAAGCUCAGCUCAGUAGACCUCUCUCUGUGUUUGGGGAGACUCUCCAGGUAAUAAUAAAGGAUUAUUUUAC